This 3188-nucleotide ribosomal RNA is filed under the name Anaerococcus murdochii. Its description in RNAcentral is "23S ribosomal RNA". It matches the Rfam family "Bacterial large subunit ribosomal RNA". Lineage: Bacteria; Bacillati; Bacillota; Tissierellia; Tissierellales; Peptoniphilaceae. The record is from RNAcentral.
AGUCAAGAAAGAAAGGGCGCAAGGUGGAUGCCUUGGCACAUGAAGACGAUGAAGGACGUAAGUGAACGAAAACUAGGGUAAGCUCACAAAAAGCCAUGACCCCUAGGUCUCCGAAUGGGGAAACCCGGCUAUGGAAGACAUAGUCAUCACUAAGUGAAUACAUAGCUUAGUGAAGUAAGACCCUGUGAACUGAAACAUCUAAGUAGCAGGAGGAAAAGAAAGAAAACUCGAUUUUCUUAGUAGCGGCGAGCGAAAAGAAAACAGCCCAACUCAAUAAGGAUCAUAUUUAAUUAGCAGAAUCAUUUGGGAAGAUGAACCAAAGAAAGUGACAGUCUUGUACGCGACAGUUAAAUAUGGACAGAGUGAAAGUAGCACCGGACACGAGGAAUCCGUUGUGAAGAUAGGGGGCCCAUCCCCUAAGGCUAAAUACUAACAUGUGACCGAUAGUGAACAAGUACCGUGAGGGAAAGGUGAAAAGAACCCCGAAAGGGGAGUGAAAUAGAACCUGAAACCUAGCGCCUACAAGCAGACAGAGCACUAAAGUGUGAUGUCGUACCUUUUGUAGAAUGGGCCAGCGAGUUAUUCUAAGCGGCAAGAUUAAGUAUUUAAGAUACGAAGUCAAAGCGAAAGCGAGUCUUAAUAGGGCCAAAGUCGAUUAGAAUAGACCCGAAACCGGGUGAUCUAUCCAUGACCAGAGUGAAGGUGAAGUAAAAUUCACUGGAGGCUCGAACCGGGUACGGUUUAAAACGUAUCGGAUGAGUUGUGGAUAGGGGUGAAAAGCCAAACGAACUCGGAUAUAGCUGGUUCUCCUCGAAAUAGCUUUAGGGCUAGCCUUUGACUAAAGAUUUUAGGAGGUAGAGCACUGAAUGGUCUAGGGCGGUUAACCGUACCGAAACCUAUCAAACUCCGAAUGCCAAAAAAUCAGGUCAAGGAGUCAGACUUAGAGGGAUAAGCUUCUAAGUCGAAAGGGAAACAGCCCAGACCGACAGCUAAGGUCCCCAAAUCUGGAUUAAGUGGAAAAGGAUGUGAAUCUACUAAGACAACCAGGACGUUGGCUUAGAAGCAGCCAUGCAUUUAAAGAAUGCGUAAUAGCUCACUGGUCAAGUGGGUUUGCGCCGAAAAUGAACGGGGCUAAAAUCCAGUACCGAAGCUUCGGAUUGAUAGAGAAUUUAAAUCUAAUCAUAAAGAACUAAAGAAAAAAGGUAAGAAAAGCUUAACUAGGAAAUAUUGUAAACAACAAUUAAUCAAGAUAAACGAGUUACAAGCAGGCCUGUCCGGCCCGAAGAGGACCCACACGGAGUGAGUCAAAAGAUAGUUCAACUAGAACGAAGAAAAACUCUUAGGGAAGACAGAAAUGCUAAAAACGAAUCAAAUUUACGCUAAAUCAAUCACAAGUAAAUGGUAAGUUGUAACUACGAUAUCACCGAAAAAACAGCAUACGAAAGUAUGAACCUGGUUAAUCAAAGUAUUAUCUAAGAAAAAAACUUUAUGUCUAGAUUUAAUUUCUCUAUCAGUGGUAGAGGAGCGUUGUAUUAGGGAAGAAGCAGAAGCGAAAGCAAAGGUGGACUUAAUACAAGUGAGAAUGCUGGCAUGAGUAGCGAGAAGGAGAGUGAGAAUCUCUCCCGUCGAAACCCUAAGGAUUCCUGAGCAAGGCUCGUCCACUCAGGGUAAGUCGGGACCUAAGCCAAGGCCGAAAGGCGUAGGCGAUGGACAACAGGUUUAAAUUCCUGUACCGCUUAAAGUCGCUAUUAGAGAUGUGAUGACGCAAGAGGAUAAGCUAAGCUAGCUGAUGGAUGCUAGUCUAAGAGUCAAGGCCAGUGUGUAGGCAAAUCCGCACACUAUUAAGGCUGAGGCUUGAUAGGUAUCGAAAACAUAAGUAGAGAAGUAGCCGAUUUCAAAUUGCCAAGAAAAGUCACUAUCGAGACCAAAGCGCCCGUACCCGAAACCGACACAGGUAGGGAGGUAGAGAAUACCAAGACGCGCGGAAGAACCUUUGUUAAGGAACUCGGCAAAAUGUCCCCGUAACUUCGGGAGAAGGGGAGCCAUAGCGAUAUGGCCACAGAAACCAGGCCCAAGCGACUGUUUACCAAAAACACAAGUUUCUGCAAAAUCGUAAGAUGAAGUAUAGGAGCUGACACCUGCCCGGUGCUGGAAGGUUAAGGAGACGGCUUAGCGCAAGCGAAGGCUCGAACUUAAGCCCCAGUAAACGGCGGCCGUAACUAUAACGGUCCUAAGGUAGCGAAAUUCCUUGUCGGGUAAGUUCCGACCCGCACGAAAGGUGUAACGAUUUGGGCACUGUCUCAACAAAGGAUCCGGUGAAAUUGUAGUAGUCGUGAAGAUGCGACUUACCCACGCUAGGACGGAAAGACCCCGUGGAGCUUUACUGUAGGCUGAUAUUGGACUUUGAGAUUAGAUAUACAGGAUAGUUGGGAGACUAUGAAGCAUGUACGCCAGUAUGUGCAGAGUCACCCUUGGGAUACCAACUUUCUAAUAUUAAAGUUCUAACAUUGACCCUUGAAUCAGGGCAAUGGACAUUGUCAGUUGGGCAGUUUGACUGGGGCGGUCGCCUCCCAAAAAGUAACGGAGGCGUUCAAAGGUUCGCUCAGAAUGGACGGAAACCAUUCGUAGAGUACAAAGGCAAAAGCGAGCUUAACUGCAAAACCUACAAGUUGCGCAGAGUAGAAAUACGGACUUAGUGAUCCGGUGGCACCGCAUGGAAGGGCCAUCGCUCAACGGAUAAAAGCUACCCCGGGGAUAACAGGCUUAUCUCCCCCAAGAGUCCACAUCGACGGGGAGGUUUGGCACCUCGAUGUCGGCUCGUCUCAUCCUGGGGCUGAAGUAGGUCCCAAGGGUUGGGCUGUUCGCCCAUUAAAGAGGCACGCGAGCUGGGUUCAGAACGUCGUGAGACAGUUCGGUCCCUAUCCAGCGUGGGCGUAAGAAAUUUGAGAGGAUCUGUCCCUAGUACGAGAGGACCGGGAUGGACACACCUAUGGUGUACCAGUUGUAAAGCCAUUUGCAUAGCUGGGUAGCUACGUGUGGAAACGAUAAGUACUGAAAGCAUCUAAGUACGAAACAGACCUCAAGAUAAGAUUUCUCAGAGUACGUAAAGAAAAUACGUUUGAUAGGUCCAAGGUGUAAGUGCAGUAAUGUAUUAAGCUAAUGGAUACUAAACUUUACAUCUUGACUGG